This 528-nucleotide ribosomal RNA is filed under the name Bacillus licheniformis. RNAcentral describes it as "bacterial SSU rRNA". It matches the Rfam family "Bacterial small subunit ribosomal RNA", at positions 275 to 794 of the family's 1533-position model. Lineage: Bacteria; Bacillati; Bacillota; Bacilli; Caryophanales; Bacillaceae. The record is from RNAcentral.
GACGAUGCGUAGCCGACCUGAGAGGGUGAUCGGCCACACUGGGACUGAGACACGGCCCAGACUCCUACGGGAGGCAGCAGUAGGGAAUCUUCCGCAAUGGACGAAAGUCUGACGGAGCAACGCCGCGUGAGUGAUGAAGGUUUUCGGAUCGUAAAACUCUGUUGUUAGGGAAGAACAAGUACCGUUCGAAUAGGGCGGCACCUUGACGGUACCUAACCAGAAAGCCACGGCUAACUACGUGCCAGCAGCCGCGGUAAUACGUAGGUGGCAAGCGUUGUCCGGAAUUAUUGGGCGUAAAGCGCGCGCAGGCGGUUUCUUAAGUCUGAUGUGAAAGCCCCCGGCUCAACCGGGGAGGGUCAUUGGAAACUGGGGAACUUGAGUGCAGAAGAGGAGAGUGGAAUUCCACGUGUAGCGGUGAAAUGCGUAGAGAUGUGGAGGAACACCAGUGGCGAAGGCGACUCUCUGGUCUGUAACUGACGCUGAGGCGCGAAAGCGUGGGGAGCGAACAGGAUUAGAUACCCUGGUAGU